ACGGGACCGGGCCGGGCACCGCUACCGGCCCGGCCUGCACCAGGAACAGGACCAGACUCAGCGCCGCUCCGACCCACACCGGCACCGGUGCCACCCCGACCCUCAUCGCACCGGGACCUGGCCACAGAACCGGACCCGCACCCAGUCACGGAUCCGCACCCAAACCAAGACCCAGCACCCGGGUCCGACCGGACCUGGGCACGGACACGGACACUGACCCAGCCCCAGUACUGGCUCCGGACCUCACCCCAGCCCUGGACACGGCACCGGGACCGGCCCUGCCCGGGACCUGGACCCAGCACGCGAUGGAAGGCUCGGAUGUGGACCCAGACCGAGAGCCGAGACCUGGCACUGGGGUCCUGUUCAGCUCCUCCAGCAUCUCUGGAUCCCCAUGGAUCCCUCAGAAAUCUGUUGUGUCCAGUGAGGAUGGAUUCACAGGAGGGAGAAAACACUGCUCCAGCACAUUUGAGAGAACUGAGGCAUCUCAGACCUGGUGUUGAGAGCACAAAGCAUUUUCUUCCAGCCAAAUCCAGCUAGGGAAACAGAGUCCCUGGUUUCUCAUUAAGCACUCAGUCCUAUUAGGCAAGUCCUGAUUAGCUGGGCUUACCCUCUGUUCCCCCGCUCUGUGGUAUUGUUUAGCCUUGGAGCCAUGGGCACAGAGCUGCAGCCUGGGCCCUGCCUUUUACAGGAACACUGAAGGCACCAGAAAGGGAUUUGCAGCAAACCAAAUUUAAUUAAAGGGGGAAAAAAUA
Taeniopygia guttata (zebra finch) is the source of this 752-nucleotide non-coding RNA. The record is from RefSeq and is a predicted model, not a curated record. Lineage: Eukaryota; Metazoa; Chordata; Aves; Passeriformes; Estrildidae.